Molecule: long non-coding RNA, 1424 nt
Organism: Populus euphratica (Euphrates poplar)
Lineage: Eukaryota; Viridiplantae; Streptophyta; Magnoliopsida; Malpighiales; Salicaceae
Exons: 3
Source: RefSeq, a predicted model, not a curated record
AGGAACUAGUUUAACAUGAUUAUUUCCAAUUGAGUUAGUUGAUCUAUUGUAAGGAAGGGUUGUUGAUCCCAAAUAACCCACCUGAGUAUGAGCAUCAGAAGCCAUAAAGUUGUGUUUUUUCCAUAGUAUUGUUCUUAGUAGCGCGCGUCCCUUCUUUGGUUAGUUGUCCUACAGGGAUUCUUACUAGACACUACAUUUGAGUCCCAAGUUAUAUGCUAGACUCGGGAGCCAUCAACGACAUUUAAUGCAUCUAGUAAUGUUCAGCGUUGGGAGAGUUGUCGACGCCUGUUUAGUUGGGUUCUAACUAAUCUGGUCACUUUUGGACGGUGCUGGGAAAGAAAUAUGACUAGAUAAAUGCUUUUCUUCAAUUUCAUCUGGUCUGGUUUUUGUAUGGUUCCUUUUCUAAUGAUUUAAUCGAAUGUUAAGAUGCCACGCUGUUGUGUAGAGAUUGGGUUCUCAUCUAAUCUAAUAGAAAUGCCUUUGUGAGACUCCCAUGGUGUUCUGCUCUCUUUUAUCUCUAGUUAUUGUGUCGACUGUUCUUCUUCAUGGAAUCAACUGAGUUCAUGCUUCAUUCCUUUGAAAGCUUCUGAACAGCCCCUUCUCAGGUCUGGUUUAGAUGUGGGUUUUCACUUAUCCUGUUAGAUUUUCAUGUAAACAGGUGCUGGAUUUUAAAUUCUCUUAAAGCUUUCUUUAUGAAUUUGAACAUAUUUCCUUCUGUAUUAUCUGGAUUGCUUUUUUUUUUUUUUCUUUUGAAAGGACUGUUGAGCUAGCCUUUCGAUCAUCUACUGUCUAGAUUGGUUUCUGGUUUCAUCCCUUUUCAUUUCCUUUCAAAUAGGUGCUUGAUUGUAUUGUUUGCUUCUGUAUUGCAAUAUGAGUUUAGAAUUAAGGGCUUACUGUUUUUUUGUUUUCUCAUCUUUAGUUGAGGUCUAUGGUUGUGGGUUCUUACUCCUGUACUUUGCUUGCGCUGGAAAGCCUUCUCAGAUUUGGUUCAUGGCAGGUGCAAUACAAAUCGUGGGCUUCAUGGGAGCAUUUGCAGCAUAUAAAUUAGUCCCAAUUGUUCCGUCGCUUGCUUUGCACUUAUCCUUUUUCUUUUUUUUUUUUAAUUUUCUUAGCCUAUUUUAUAUUUUUUUUUGUUAUAAGUAUGUGAAUUUCGAUUCUUAUGUGAUAGAAAUUAAUUUGCCAAUGCAGUUCAGUUUAUUUGUUUAUAGUUUUGAUUUUGUAGUCCUAUUUCAUUUGCUUAAAAACGUUUCCUAGAAUUAGUAAACAAAUGUAAUUUUAUUUAUACAAGUUGUGCAGCAAGUGCAUUUCUUAGAGGAAUGAGAUGAGUUUAAUCAAGAGAUGAUUAAAAAUGAUGAGCAUGGUUUGACCUGAAGGAUUCUGUUGAAUAUGUUUUCUGUUGUUGCAACCUUUUCCAGGUUUGUCUU